Long non-coding RNA from Bradysia coprophila, 395 nucleotides. RefSeq lists it as uncharacterized. The record is from RefSeq and is a predicted model, not a curated record. Lineage: Eukaryota; Metazoa; Arthropoda; Insecta; Diptera; Sciaridae.
GUAGGUCAAGUAUACCAACAUGAUGCAUAACAUGUUUUGUCCGGACGGCAAACAAAAGGUCAAACUACUUUGAAGCAAACGUGCUUUGAACAUUUUCUCGUACAAAAUAUCCAACAUAUUUGGUCUGUGCGUUCGGAUACGCACAAGAGAAUAAUGGACAAUAAAAAACAAGGAGGAAACAACAUGGAGCCAAGUGUAGAUCAACGAGAAAAAAACAUGGAGUCAAACGAAGAACAACAAGAAAACGACAUGGAUCCAGACGAGGAAGGCGACGCCACUUACGUACCAUACUUCGACAUUGGUUACAUGAACACCUUCAUUCAAUAUCACAUAGAUCUAACCGCUAAGCGAAUUGAGACGGUCAACGAAGUCAAAGCUCAAUUGCUCCAGGAGAG